This 376-nucleotide ribosomal RNA is filed under the name uncultured bacterium. Its description in RNAcentral is "bacterial SSU rRNA". It matches the Rfam family "Bacterial small subunit ribosomal RNA", at positions 335 to 702 of the family's 1533-position model. The record is from RNAcentral.
ACUCCUACGGGAGGCAGCAGUGGGGAAUAUUGCACAAUGGGCGCAAGCCUGAUGCAGCCAUGCCGCGUGUAUGAAGAAGGCCUCGGUUGUAAAGUACUUUCUAGCAGUGAGGAAGGUGGGUAGUGUUAAUAGCAUACUCAUUUGUACGUUAGCUGCAGAAGAAGCACCGGCUAACUCCGUGCCAGCAGCCGCGGUAAUACGGAGGGUGCGAGCGUUAAUCGGAAUUACUGGGCGUAAAGCGCAUGCAGGUGGUUUGUUAAGUUCAGAUGUGAAAGCCCGGGGCUCAACCUCGGAAUUGCAUUUGAAACUGGCAAACUAGAGUACUGUAGAGGGGGUAGAAUUUCAGGUGUAGCGGUGAAAUGCGUAGAGAUCUGAA